CCCUUAGAUGUUCUGGGCCGCACGCGUGCUACACUGAGUAAAUCAAUGGGUAAGGGAACACGAAAGUGCAACCUAAUCUUGAAAUUUGCUCGUGAUGGGGAUCGACGGUUGCAAUUUUCCGUCGUGAACGAGGAAUACCUUGUAGGCGCGUGUCAUCAUCACGCGCCGAAUACGUCCCUGCCCUUUGUACACGCCGCCCGUCGCUCCUACCGAUUGAGUGAUCCGGUGAGGCUCUGGGACCUGGACGGAAAGAGCGUUUCGCUUGUUCUGUUUGGGAAACUUGGUCGAACCUUAUCAUUUAGAGGAAGGAGAAGUCGUAACA
RNAcentral lists this ribosomal RNA (322 nucleotides) under uncultured eukaryote. RNAcentral describes it as "partial 18S ribosomal RNA". It matches the Rfam family "Eukaryotic small subunit ribosomal RNA", at positions 1470 to 1796 of the family's 1831-position model. The record is from RNAcentral.